CCUACGGGCGGCUGCAGUGGGGAAUAUUGGACAAUGGGCAAAAGCCUGAUCCAGCCAUGCCGCGUGUGUGAAGAAGGCCUUCGGGUUGUAAAGCACUUUCAGUGGGGAAGAAAGCCUUGGGGCUAAUACCCUCGAGGAAGGACAUCACCCACAGAAGAAGCACCGGCUAACUCCGUGCCAGCAGCCGCGGUAAUACGGAGGGUGCGAGCGUUAAUCGGAAUUACUGGGCGUAAAGCGCGCGUAGGCGGUCUGAUAAGCCGGUUGUGAAAGCCCCGGGCUCAACCUGGGAACGGCAUCCGGAACUGUCAGGCUAGAGUGCAGGAGAGGAAGGUAGAAUUCCCGGUGUAGCGGUGAAAUGCGUAGAGAUCGGGAGGAAUACCAGUGGCGAAGGCGGCCUUCUGGACUGACACUGACGCUGAGGUGCGAAAGCGUGGGUAGCAAACAGGAUUAGAUACCCGGGUAGUC
This 465-nucleotide ribosomal RNA is filed under the name Vreelandella stevensii. RNAcentral's name for it is "partial 16S ribosomal RNA". It matches the Rfam family "Bacterial small subunit ribosomal RNA", at positions 338 to 795 of the family's 1533-position model. The record is from RNAcentral. Lineage: Bacteria; Pseudomonadati; Pseudomonadota; Gammaproteobacteria; Oceanospirillales; Halomonadaceae.